This is a long non-coding RNA of Dendrobium catenatum, 657 nucleotides long. RefSeq lists it as uncharacterized. The transcript has 2 exons. NCBI's taxonomy places the organism in Eukaryota, Viridiplantae, Streptophyta, Magnoliopsida, Asparagales, Orchidaceae. The record is from RefSeq and is a predicted model, not a curated record.
UCCUCAAAAAUCAGUAAACUAUGUUGUCCUUGCAAAUAUAUAUGCGACAGCUAGUUUGUGGGAAAAUGCAUGGAGGACAAGAAAAUUAAUGCAACAACAAUCAAGUCAGAAAGAUGCAGGCUGCAGCUCUAUUGACCUUCCUAGGCAUGUGUUUUUAUAAUCUCACCUUGAGGGUAUGAUUCUUAGAAGCCAUGGACUCAAUGCUUCCUUAUUUGUUCUCAUACGUCAGAAAGUUACAGGGCAGAUUCUCUUCUCACUGCAUGCAACAAUUGGUGAAGAGAUAACAGUUCCUGUUUCUCGGUGAAAUGUCAACAAGGGCAAUAUUCUCCAGUACUUGUGCAUAAAUGUAACCUGGAAGGACUCCGCAGGUUUUUUAGGGUCAAAUGUUGCCGAAACAAGCAAUACUCAUGUUGUCUCCGUUAGAGCCGAGCUUGUACAAAUAAAAAUUAUAUUGGUGAUGGUUCUUAUCCUAAAUUUCAUUGUAGCAAUCACCGUGAACAAAUGUAACUGUAAUUAGAUCAGUGAGUAAAUGUAACUUUCAGGUAGUGUAACCUGGAAAGACUCAUUGAUUGCUUUAAUAUUGUUAGAAUUCAGAAGUUAUGUAAUUACUUUAAUGUAAUAUUGAUUGCUUUAAUGUGAUUGCUUAUGUUUUGUGAA